CCUAAUACAUGCAAGUCGAGCGAACGGACGAGAAGCUUGCUUCUCUGAUGUUAGCGGCGGACGGGUGAGUAACACGUGGAUAACCUACCUAUAAGACUGGGAUAACUUCGGGAAACCGGAGCUAAUACCGGAUAAUAUUUUGAACCGCAUGGUUCAAAAGUGAAAGACGGUCUUGCUGUCACUUAUAGAUGGAUCCGCGCUGCAUUAGCUAGUUGGUAAGGUAACGGCUUACCAAGGCAACGAUGCAUAGCCGACCUGAGAGGGUGAUCGGCCACACUGGAACUGAGACACGGUCCAGACUCCUACGGGAGGCAGCAGUAGGGAAUCCUCCGCAAUGGGCGAAAGCCUGACGGAGCAACGCCGCGUGAGUGAUGAAGGUCUUCGGAUCGUAAAACUCUGUUAUUAGGGAAGAACAUAUGUGUAAGUAACUGUGCACAUCUUGACGGUACCUAAUCAGAAAGCCACGGCUAACUACGUGCCAGCAGCCGCGGUAAUACGUAGGUGGCAAGCGUUAUCCGGAAUUAUUGGGCGUAAAGCGCGCGUAGGCGGUUUUUUAAGUCUGAUGUGAAAGCCCACGGCUCAACCGUGGAGGGUCAUUGGAAACUGGAAAACUUGAGUGCAGAAGAGGAAAGUGGAAUUCCAUGUGUAGCGGUGAAAUGCGCAGAGAUAUGGAGGAACACCAGUGGCGAAGGCGACUUUCUGGUCUGUAACUGACGCUGAUGUGCGAAAGCGUGGGGAUCAAACAGGAU
This 749-nucleotide ribosomal RNA is filed under the name uncultured Staphylococcus sp. Its description in RNAcentral is "bacterial SSU rRNA". It matches the Rfam family "Bacterial small subunit ribosomal RNA", at positions 47 to 778 of the family's 1533-position model. The record is from RNAcentral. Lineage: Bacteria; Bacillati; Bacillota; Bacilli; Caryophanales; Staphylococcaceae.